UACAGGGGGUGCAAACGUUGCCCGGAAUCAUUGGGCGUAAAGAGCGUGUAGGCGGCUCGGUAAGUCCGCUGUGAAAGUCCAGGGCUCAACCCUGGAAUGCCGGUGGAAACUGUCGAGCUAGAGUCCGGAAGAGGCGAGUGGAAUUCCUGGUGUAGCGGUGAAAUGCGCAGAUAUCAGGAGGAACACCAAUGGCGAAGGCAGCUCGCUGGGACGGUACUGACGCUGAGACGCGAAAGCGUGGGGAGCAAACAGG
This 253-nucleotide ribosomal RNA is filed under the name uncultured bacterium. RNAcentral describes it as "partial 16S ribosomal RNA". It matches the Rfam family "Bacterial small subunit ribosomal RNA", at positions 524 to 776 of the family's 1533-position model. The record is from RNAcentral.